This 628-nucleotide ribosomal RNA is filed under the name uncultured fungus. RNAcentral's name for it is "eukaryotic LSU rRNA". The stretch from base 89 to 242 matches the Rfam family "5.8S ribosomal RNA". Lineage: Eukaryota; Fungi. The record is from RNAcentral.
GGGCUAACUCCCCCCCCGCGGACCUUCCUAUGCUUUUCAUACAACCCAUCGAGUCAUAGAAUGUGAUCGCGUGUAACGCAUCUUAUACAACUUUCAGCAACGGAUCUCUGAGCUCUCGCAUCGAUGAAGAACGCAGCGAAAUGCGAUAAGUAAUGUGAAUUGCAGAAUUCAGUGAAUCAUCGAAUCUUUGAACGCACCUUGCGCUCCUUGGUAUUCCGAGGAGCAUGCCUGUUUGAGUGUCAUGGAAUUCUCAACUCCCCCUCAUCUUUCUGUGAGUGGUGGGGCUCGGAUUUGGAGGUCUUUUAUGCUGGACGUUAUCUGUUCAGCUCCUCUUGAAUGCAUUAGCUUUGAACCUUUGUGGAUCGGCUGUCUGGCGUGAUAAUUGUCUACGCCGCGUCGUGAAGCGUUUCAUAGGAUCGGCUUCUAAUUGUCCCCUGUGGACACACUUUGACCUUCUGACCUCAAAUCAGGUAGGAUUACCCGCUGAACUUAAGCAUAUCAAUAAGCGGAGGAAAAGAAACUAACAAGGAUUCCCCUAGUAACUGCGAGUGAAGCGGGAAAAGCUCAAAUUUAAAAUCUGGUGGUCUUUGGCCGCCCGAGUUGUAGUCUGGAGAAGCGUUUUCCGCGC